Molecule: ribosomal RNA, 497 nt
Filed under: uncultured bacterium
Lineage: Bacteria
Description: partial 16S ribosomal RNA
Rfam family: Bacterial small subunit ribosomal RNA
Source: RNAcentral
GAUGGACGCUGGCGGCGUGCCUAAUACAUGCAAGUCGAGCGAACAGACGAGGAGCUUGCUCCUCUGACGUUAGCGGCGGACGGGUGAGUAACACGUGGAUAACCUACCUAUAAGACUGGGAUAACUUCGGGAAACCGGAGCUAAUACCGGAUAAUAUAUUGAACCGCAUGGUUCAAUAGUGAAAGACGGUUUUGCUGUCACUUAUAGAUGGAUCCGCGCCGCAUUAGCUAGUUGGUAAGGUAACGGCUUACCAAGGCAACGAUGCGUAGCCGACCUGAGAGGGUGAUCGGCCACACUGGAACUGAGACACGGUCCAGGCUCCUACGGGAGGCAGCAGUAGGGAAUCUUCCGCAAUGGGCGAAAGCCUGACGGAGCAACGCCGCGUGAGUGAUGAAGGUCUUCGGAUCGUAAAACUCUGUUAUUAGGGAAGAACAAAUGUGUAAGUAACUAUGCACGUCUUGACGGUACCUAAUCAGAAAGCCACGGCUAACUACGUG